RNAcentral lists this transfer RNA (69 nucleotides) under Rattus norvegicus (Norway rat). It matches the Rfam family "tRNA". From Rfam's summary of the family: Transfer RNA (tRNA) molecules are approximately 80 nucleotides in length. The record is from Rfam by way of RNAcentral. Lineage: Eukaryota; Metazoa; Chordata; Mammalia; Rodentia; Muridae.
GGGGAUUCAGCUCAGUGGUAGAGCGCUUGCCUAGCAAGCGCAAGGCCCUGGGUUCGAUCCCCAGCUCCA